Molecule: ribosomal RNA, 253 nt
Filed under: uncultured bacterium
Lineage: Bacteria
Description: partial 16S ribosomal RNA
Rfam family: Bacterial small subunit ribosomal RNA
Source: RNAcentral
UACAGAGGUCUCGAGCGUUGUUCGGAUUCAUUGGGCGUAAAGGGUGCGUAGGCGGCGAAGUAAGUCGGAUGUGAAAUCCCGGGGCUCAACCCCGGAACUGCAUUCGAUACUGCUUUGCUUGAGGACUGGAGAGGAGACUGGAAUUCACGGUGUAGCAGUGAUAUGCGUAGAUAUCGUGAGGAAGACCGGUGGCGAAGGCGGGUCUCUGGACAGUUCCUGACGCUGAGGCACGAAGGCCAGGGGAGCAAACGGG